GAUGAACGCUGGCGGCGUGCCUAAUACAUGCAAGUCGAGCGAACAGAUAAGGAGCUUGCUCCUCUGAAGUUAGCGGCGGACGGGUGAGUAACACGUGGGUAACCUACCUAUAAGACUGGGAUAACUUCGGGAAACCGGAGCUAAUACCGGAUAAUAUUUAGAACCGCAUGGUUCUAUAGUGAAAGAUGGUUUUGCUAUCACUUAUAGAUGGACCCGCGCCGCAUUAGCUAGUUGGUAAGGUAACGGCUUACCAAGGCGACGAUGCGUAGCCGACCUGAGAGGGUGAUCGGCCACACUGGAACUGAGACACGGUCCAGACUCCUACGGGAGGCAGCAGUAGGGAAUCUUCCGCAAUGGGCGAAAGCCUGACGGAGCAACGCCGCGUGAGUGAUGAAGGGUUUCGGCUCGUAAAACUCUGUUAUUAGGGAAGAACAAAUGUGUAAGUAACUAUGCACAUCUUGACGGUACCUAAUCAGAAAGCCACGGCUAACUACGUG
Molecule: ribosomal RNA, 497 nt
Filed under: uncultured bacterium
Lineage: Bacteria
Description: partial 16S ribosomal RNA
Rfam family: Bacterial small subunit ribosomal RNA
Source: RNAcentral